RNAcentral lists this long non-coding RNA (531 nucleotides) under Trifolium pratense (red clover). RNAcentral's name for it is "long non-coding RNA (TPRA_LNC011739)". The record is from RNAcentral. Lineage: Eukaryota; Viridiplantae; Streptophyta; Magnoliopsida; Fabales; Fabaceae.
UGUGCGAUUUUGGCCCCCCAUGUUUCAUAAUUGUGCAAUUUUGCCCCCCACGUUUCACAUGUGCGAUUUUGGCCCCCUAGGUUUGCCCUCUUUUGCAUUUCUUGGUCCCCGUUGACUAUUUUGACCAAAAAUUGUUGACAUGAAAUUUUUUUGACACGUGUCUUAAUUGUAUUGGCCAACCAAAAUUUAUUAUUAUUAUUUUUAAAAAAAAAAAAUUAAGAAAGGUCACGUGACUUUUUUUGGGGGGUUAAUUAUUAUUCUUUUGACAAAAUAGGUACAAAAAAUGGAACCAAGAUCUCAUCUUCUUCUCCAUCAGUAAAACAAUCUCUUUGAUCAAUUUCUUCAGGUUAUAUCACAGCUUUCCAAACAAAAUUUGAAAAAGCCUUAUGACUGCUCGCGAAUUGCCUCAUAUCACUCAUCGACGAUGCGUUCUUCCGUUCACCGACAAACCCAGAAUUACCAUCUGAUUUCCUUUCCAUAAAUUUGGGUUUGGAUUGUGUGAAAUACCCUCUGAAACUUUGAUUUCUUGAC